RNAcentral lists this transfer RNA (55 nucleotides) under Martes americana caurina. RNAcentral's name for it is "partial tRNA-Asp". The record is from RNAcentral. Lineage: Eukaryota; Metazoa; Chordata; Mammalia; Carnivora; Mustelidae.
AAAAUUACAUGACUUUGUCAAAGUCAAAUUAUAGGUGAAAGUCCUUUAUGUCUCU